Molecule: ribosomal RNA, 118 nt
Filed under: Oryzias melastigma (Indian medaka)
Lineage: Eukaryota; Metazoa; Chordata; Actinopteri; Beloniformes; Adrianichthyidae
Source: RNAcentral
AAAUAGGCCACACCGCCCUGAGCGCGCCCCAUCUUGUCUGGUCUCGGAAACCAAGCAGGGUCGGGGCUGGUUAGUACUUGGGUGGGAGACCGCCUGGGAAUACCAGAUGCUGUAAGUU